AGCUUUGCGCAGUGGCAGUAUCAUAGACAAUGAGGUUUAUCCGAGGGCGAUUAUUGAAAGCUUUUCCCAAUACCCCGCCGUGACAACUUGAAAUAUAGUCAGCACUAGCAAUUUUUGAAGGUAAAAAAAAAACAAUAUAACUUUA
Molecule: small nuclear RNA, 145 nt
Organism: Phyllostomus discolor (pale spear-nosed bat)
Lineage: Eukaryota; Metazoa; Chordata; Mammalia; Chiroptera; Phyllostomidae
Product: U4 spliceosomal RNA
Exons: 1
Source: RefSeq, a predicted model, not a curated record